This is a non-coding RNA of Coturnix japonica (Japanese quail), 11132 nucleotides long. The record is from RefSeq and is a predicted model, not a curated record. NCBI's taxonomy places the organism in Eukaryota, Metazoa, Chordata, Aves, Galliformes, Phasianidae.
AAGAUCAACACUGAAUCACUGGUGAUUUAUUGACACAUUUAUAAAAGCCGAUUGUUGCGUUUGUGAGGCUCUGACUUCCCAUUGCCCACUUGUUCAUUGGAGGUGAUGAGUGAGCGAUAACUACCUUAGUAAGCUCAUUCUGCUCAGGCUCAGGGCCUUCAGCAAAGGGUCUCGAGGGCUGUUCCUGAGAUGCUCUGCACUCAGGGCUGGAACUGGGUUUCAGCUGGCUUUAGUGCUCCUGUACAACAGCAGAGGGUGCUAGUGCCAUCCCCAAGGAGAACAGGCUUCUGGGUGUUGCAGAAAGCAGAUUCCCACAUGCAACUCACUAUACAGUAUCACAGCAGGGAGACUGGAAGCUUUUGUGAAAGUGGAGGAGAGAGCAGUGUAUUGCUGUUUGUGAUAUAAUGGAGGUUUUGGAAAUGCGAAGUGUGGAAAAAAUUCUUUAUCUCAUUACAAGGAGCCACUGAUAGGGAAAGGUAGUGAGUUCAUUUGCAUGAUGGAGCCAUGCAGGAAGAUACACGACCGUGUCCAACAAUGUAUAGCAGUUUAGAAUUUUAAUUGUACUGCUUAGAAGGUCUGCUGCCUGGCCAAAGGUUGAUCUUUGUCCCAUCCAGAUGCAGGAUCUGAUGAUUUUAUGGGAGAGAUCAGAGAUACAAACAGCAACUUGGCACACACUUAGCAUGAGUUAGGAGAAAAGGCUUAGAAUAGCAAGGAAUGACCAUUCUGAAGAACUCUACUGUCCUGUUUCCUUUGUCAUGCUUGGACAGAGAGAGUUCCCCUAAGUAGCAAUAUUUCAUUUUUAAUUGCUUGGAAAUAUAUAUAUAUAUAAAAUAUUACAGUAGGACUUCUUGGCUUAGAAAGGUUGUGCUUGCCCCAUUUGCUCAGUUAAGUGCUUUGCAGAUCAAUACAGAAAAGACAUUAUGCUAUGAUGAUACUUUGUCCUUCAGAACUGUUACUGGAAGGAUUCUAGUAUCCAUGGAGGCAAUUAGCUGCCUACAGAGUCAGACACAUGUCCCUCUUUGUCUUUUCAUCUAGCAUGAAGUGCCCUACCUGCACUUACAUUAGGCCUUCCCUGGUUUGACAAACAUUAUGGUGAUUAUGGUGUGAAACCUCUCACAUUUAGGGAAUCCUGAUAUCUCUUUAGGAAUCUGGCUUGGUACACUUGCAUUCUAUGCAUAUUUUGGCUUGUACCCAAAGAGUCCUUAUUCAUUAUGGGGUAUUGCUGUUCUUGCAGCCUGGGUUAGUUCUUGCUGUAGAGGUUGAGUGCAACCUGUCUUUGUUUUUUCUUAACAUUUUAUAGAAAUAAGCAGGUGAGAUAAACUGCAAAUUCCAAACUUGGAACAAAAAAAGCAUCUUCACAGAUUAAAAACAAGUGGCUCAGGUAUUUCCAGCUGGAUGAAUGAAGGUGAAUCUGUGGAAGAAUGGCUGUUCAACUCAAGAAACAAAAGGCUCAGAGCAGGGUGCCAUAGUGCAGUACUUGAAAUGCAAUGCUGUGCAGCAUAGCUUCUAACAAGGAAGCUAAGCCUAAGUUCUGCAGCUUCUCCCAGCUCGAGGGGCAGAUUAUUGAUUAUGGAAAUAGUGAGAUGCUAUUAUGGUUCCUGUUGUGUAAGGAGGGAUUUGAAAUGAAUUCUUUUAAUAGCUGUUUUCUUUAGAGGCAGUUCAGAAAAAAAUCUACAGGCCGUUUACAUAAACAGGAUUGACUGCCAAUUCCUGCUCUGAUCUAUGAGACAAACUAGUCCCAAAACAAGUAGGUAUGAAAACCACUGAAGUCAUGGAGUAUUCAUUAAUAUAAUUUUGUCUGAAAUAGAAAUGAAAAAGCAGGAAGAAGGGUUUGGUACAAACAUUCUGAUACAGAAGGCUGUUCCAUACCCGAAACUCUCAUCCUUUCUUCUCUCUGCCUCCAUUAUAUUUUCCCAACUAUCUUAUUUUGGCCUCCAAAUUAGUUUUAACUUACAGGUAUUUUUCCAGCACAGCAGGGUGAGGUUGAGCGCUUCCAAAUUAGAAGCUUUCCACAUUUCUCUGGAAUAUGUUUCUGUGGCACUGAGGUAACUUUUUCCCAAGUUACACAAUAAGGCCACUGUAGCAAUGGCAUCAACGUAUGGGAAAGGGUCAAAGUCCUGGGGCUGUGUUGUGUUUCCAUAGUGCUCCUUGCAGCAGCCUUCCUUAAUGGUGCCAUUGGCACUGGCAGAGCCAGCAAGCAAGAAACGUUGCUGGCUGCCUUCUGUGAAUGUGUCACUCCUGCUGGCCUAAGUACUGGCUGUACAUCACUAGUGACGUGGGCAAGUGAAGAAAAGCAACACUCAUUGAGAAGCAAACUGAGGGGGAGAUGUGCCCCCCAGAGGGUCGGCAUGUUACCAGUUGUACAUGCAGGAGGAAACAAUUUCUGUGGGCUUUGUGAGCUGUGAAAGUGUGUUUUAUUCAUAUGGGAGUAAAUAAAGUGACUUCUCUGUCACAAGUAAAUGCACAAAUUAGGAUAUAUCUACAUAAAACCAGAGCUGCGUUUUAAGCACAACAGGCACUUACUCAGCUUGGAGCCUGAAUCAUACACAUUGCAAAGGAGUGGAAAACAUGGGCUUUUAGAGGAACGUUUGCAACAUGAUGGAAAGCAGAGCAAUGACAGCACAGCAGCAAGGUCCUAAGCUGCAGCAAGAGAGAAUUCACCCAAAUGAACAGCUGCAGGCACACAAAUAAAGGAAAGGAGCUACUUACCUUCAGAAGGACUCAGCAAUAUAGUGCUACCAAACAGCAUGACCUGAAGGAUCUUAUGGUGUCAAUCAGAAGCUCCAAGAAAACGCACUUUCCCUAAAACCAGGUUUGACAGAAGCUCCCUGCUGCAGUGCUGCAAGAGGAGUACAAGCACAAACAUCUGGAUGAGUUGUUGCCAGGAAUUGUACAAACGUGAUCUCUGGAGUCCUUCAUGAUAUAAAUCUCAGCAUAGAACUUAGGGUCAAAUCUUCUGCAUAUGCCAAAAUUAUGCUGAAUUUGAGAGAAAUCGUUCCAGAUUCACACCGGCACUCUACAGUGAAAUGAUGUUUGAAGCAAAUAUGCCUGUGCUUCCUAAGCAGCCCCUCCUAAACUCAGCAGUGUGCUGAAGUACACUGUUACUGGUUCAAAAGGAAUUGAUUUCUCAGAAAUGGUUGAUCUCCCACAUGGCCAAUGGGUUUCAGGUACAGUAUGAUUUAUUGCCACAGCAAUAUGGAAUUCUGCAUCUCCAGUUUCUGCCUGCACAUAAUAAGUGGUGGUCUGCCUUUCUCUGGAUAGGCCGUUUGGCACUGACCAGUUAUUCUUCCCCAUGGUAUUGACCAAGCUGGUGUUUCAGCUUACUGAACCGAAUAUGGAACUAUUUAUUUCCAUCUACUAUUAAGAUAGAGCUUCUACAACAUUUCUGCCAGCGAUACGGUGAGUAUGUAUGUCAGAGUUCUCUAACAAGCUGCCAUUCAUUUCCUCAUGCUUAAAAAGGGUACAGAGAAGGAACCAGUGAAACAUAAAAUGCCAAUAAUAAAGAUAAGCUCACGGCAGCCAGCAAUUCCCCCGUUUAAAAAGAAUGUUCCAAGAUGUAUAUUUCAUCAUUCUCUGAAAUAAGGAAGACAUUUAAAGAGCAUCUGUGUAGUUUGAGUAAGUUUGUUCUGUGAAUUGCUAGGAAAGAAAAGAGACUCUCCUGACGUAUUGCAACAAAUUGUUCCCGGCACUUCAGCUUCGUACACGAACUGAAAAUGCAGAGGAAGCAACACAAUAUUGGAUGAACCUGUUUCAGAAUGUUGGCUCGGACCACAAAGCAAGUAAUUAACAAGCUGAAUGAAGCAUUUAAGCCCACGCCUUAUCAUUUAUGUAACUAACCUUUGAGUUUUGGAUGCACUGGUAUGCUGCAGCGAAGCCUACACAGUGUUUCUUUUAUGUGCGUGUAUUAAGCAAAUGGGAAAUGCAUACCCUGCCAUUUGUUUUUCACAUUUUCAGCGCUUAUCAGAGUUCUCUGCCUGAGUGAUCUUAUAUUGCAGAAAUGUACGCCUCUCGGUCAUUUGUGCUGCAGUGCAGUGUCAAUCCAGAUGAGUUUUGGCCUUGUUAUGUGUGCGGGGAGAUGUCUACUUUUCAGGGUGCUUGUGAGCUUGUUUAAAGCACCAGAAAAGAAUUAAUUGAAUGCUGUUUUGCUCUGAAGAACAGGAAGGAUGGCAGGGGAUGCUGCAAGCCCCUCAUUUCUGGGGGAGCAGCCUUCACCAACAGCUUUGGAAACAAGGAAUGCUGUAAGCUGAGGUCACUGGUUGAGAGGUCUGAAAAGAAGGUGCUUCCAUUCUUCUAACACAUGUGAAGUGUUCCAUCCUUCCCAUCCUGAGAAAUGCUGGGUGUAUGAGGAGCACUGAGACUGCUUAUGACAACAUCAGCUUCCUACAGAGCAGCUAAUAUUUAGCAGUGGAGUGUAGCAUCACCUCUGCUCUCAGGGAAUGAGUCACUUUGCUUACUAAUUCCCCUGCUUUCGUGUCUCUCCCUCCUGUUCUUUCUCCAUCACUUUAUAACCAGACUUAUUUGGAACCCUUAUAAGACAAACACCAUUUCUCCUUGGCGGGAGGGAAAUAAAACAGCAUACUUAACAUGGUUAUAUAACACACUGCUACUCAUGCCUAAAAUGAGGUCAUUUUGAUUAAUAUAUUUAUCUGGUGUGCAGCUGUAACAGGAGAUAUAAUUGUGGUUAAAAGCACUGUUUUAUUUAGUCUCUUUGCAAUGCAGGAUUUGCUUUUUGUAACUAAUAUCCACUGACUCAAUGGGAGCUGUUGGUUAAUGUGUUAAUUGGUGCCCUUGGGCCAUAUCCUGCCCUCCAAACUUUGGGAAAUCUUCACGGUGCAGAAAGACAACUUCCCUUCUCUCUUCUCUCUAAGAAACAAUGUAAGAAUUCCUCUCUCAUUAUAUUUAUUAAGAAAUAAUCCAGUAAAGUACAUAAAAGCAGGCAAGAAAAUGUGAAAGAAAUGAAGGUGCUAUGAGCUGUCAGGGACGUAGAGUUCAGCUUAGUGUGAUAAAAAUGGUGCACAUAGAAUGUGACUCCCUAAGGGUGAUGGUGUUUCUGGAUGAUGGAUACAGUAAAAAGAGCAGAAGGGAGCGAUGAAGGUAGUGACAUGGGCUGGGAGGAGAUGAGCAGCAUUCUGCCAGUGGCUCCAGCAUCAUCAGUGGGAAUCGCAGAGCUGGUAGGAUUUGCUUUUGGAAUACAAGCAGAUGUAUUUUUCUUUGGGGAUGUGAAUUGCCAUUCUUCAAAGUUGUGACGCAUUCGGUUCUAUUUCGGUUUGAUGACUCCUAACCAGACACAUUAGGAGCUGCUGCUCAGAAGCCAGCAUUAAAAACACUGUGUUUUUCUCUUCCCUUCUUUCUGGCAAAAAGCUCAUUAUUCAAGUGCUUUCUCUAACCUCUAGUUACCCUGGUUGCAUAACUGGAAAGCAGCAUCCCACCAUGCACUUCUGUGACCCAGUUGUGCCUUUCCAGGAGUGACUUUAUGAGUUAUGAAAGGUGUGUCUGCCAAAUUGCUACAGAAACAUUUACUCUACUGACCCUGAUUUCCCAAAUAUUAAAUAGCCGGCGUUCACUUGGGAGUGAAAAACAGCAUCAAGAAUAAAGAAAACCAGUUCAGCUCUGUUGAAAAUGCUUCUGUGGGUUCUUUAGCCUUGGUGGAACUCGGGCUUCUCAUUGAGUAAAAAAAUAAUAAUACUUGUAAAAAGCGUUUUUAAAUCAUGAAUGCUUCACUAAACCUUCAAAACACAUUUCAGAUGGUACGUUCAGUACUAAUAGUCACAGCGCAAAUCAUUUGAGUCAUCCAUGGAAGAGACUGAAUGCUAAUUGCUUUGUUGAACGAGCUUACAGUCUAAAUGGUGAUGUUCUGAAUUCAGAUUUCCUAGACUGUCUGCAGACCUGAUAAAAUCCUUUCACAUUGUUGUGCCACCUAUUACCACAUUUCCUAUGCGUGCUAAAGCCUCCAUGCAGAUGAAGCUCAGAUGAAGCUCUAUCAAACACAUAGAGAAAACCAUUUAUUACUAAUAUUACUCUUAAAAAAUCUUCCUGCAGCUUGUAGAAAAGACAAAAAGCAGCCAUGUUUUUUUUCCCCUUUUCUCAUAUAAUACACCAUAAGUCAGUUACAUAAAUAAAGUCACUUACAUAAAUGGCUUAAUUCUCCUUUCACUUACAGCAUUACAAGUCAAGAGCAGAUCUACUGCGAGAGAAGAUGCCAUGCUGGCAUCUCACUCGGGCUGUCAGUUUUGCUUUAACAACCUGAAAGCUGUCCAUGAGGAGAGGUAAACCAUUCAGUGUGCGGCAGCUAAGGGCUAUGCAUGGCAAACCCUGCUCUUUGAUGGUGCUCUGGUUCUCAGGUAGCCUCCAUGUGUUCAUUUGCACUUGGCCUUGCUGAGUGGCUAGUUAUGAUACAGCUGGAGAAGAAGGCCUGGUGACAUUUCCGUCCACUAGGAAGAACCAUUUCAUCUGUUCUCUUGUGUGAUUUCUGGAGUUCUUAGUGGCAGCUGAUAGAAAGUUUGAAAACAACAUGGAUUUAAGAAUGACAGCAACAACAAAGCUUAGCCCCACAGUCCUUUAUCGUUUUAAAGUGAGACAUAAAAUAGUUGACUUCAGAAUGCUUCAUGAGUCCGCUGAAUAAAUCUCUUUCAAGCAUGCUGAACUUCCAGAGCUGGGAAAUACAUCUGCCACCCUAGAUUUGUUUUAGUUACCUUUUGCUUUAAACAACAACUAAAAGCCAUUCUUAAUGAAGGCUUCUGGAAUCAAAACUGAGAACCAAAAGGAAUAAUUUACCUGCCAUGUUCCCAAGCAAAGCUUCAGCUUUGGCUGUUUCCUGGUGGAAAAGCACUUCAACCAAAGUACUUCCCUGCUCAGAUUCAAAUGUUUGUUACUGAGUACCACAGUCCUGACAUAAUUAGCUGUUAGCUUACUAAAUGCAGUGCCCUGGAUUCUAAAAUAAAUACAGGACCUGAGCAACCUUAAAUAAGAGAGCAGCGAGGUAAUCUCUGGUGCUAUAGGUGAUGGGACUGAAGCAGCAGAGAGCAACCACAGCACACAGCUUGCUUCAGUGACAAGGAGCAGUUCAUUCUCAUCUCUAAAAGCUAAACGCUGGUGACUCUUACACAUUUUCAAUAGGAUGAACUGCAGAGCUGUUCUCUCAAUCUUGAGUUUAUGAAUAAAAUUCCAUUUUUCUGCAAGCCAGGGACUUCAAAAGUGCUAUGGAGCUUCUAGCUGAGGGGGCCCUUACUGAUCAUCAUGUUUGCAUGGGUUCACAGGUGCAGCUUAACAAGCCACUAGGGCUCACUUUCCCUGGCUGUGGCUGCAUGUGGAAGGCAGCCUGUCUAUUGUUUUUAAUCACAGCAACAGGCAACUCACUAAAGCAAACAGCACAGGAGGCACUGAAGCAGACAGUGCUAGAUGCUAGACUCUCAGCACUUCCCAUUGCCCUUUCUCUUCUACAGCAAAGAGAGAAAGUGCUCUGGGGGUCCCUUCCAAAGGCUGAGUUUUGGGCAACUGCCUUCCUUCCUGCAGGUUCCUUCCUCCACAUCAGAUUGUGCUGCAUGGCUGCAGAACCUCGGCUGUGUUCUUUGUUCCUCUGUCUAAAACACCUCAAAAAGCAGCUCCCAUGGCACAGUGAUUCACACCUGAUGUUCUCUGUUAUGCAAGCCAAAGAGUAAAGAACACAAAAGUUUUAAUUAGCAAACAACGCUUCACACAGACUCAGUUGGUACAACAUAAUUGCAGGUACAUCUACAAACAAAUACAGGAUCUUUGGACUAUGAAUCUUUUUUAAAAAAUAUUUUAUAUGACAAUGUGAACAAAACUGGAAAGAAAAAACAACUAAGUACUUCAACCUUACGUCGAGGUAGCUGAACAGCACUCUGUUCAGUGGCAUCAGAGUUUCAUUUCAAGUUCAUUACAGUGCACAAAAAUGAUGUUUUACAAACAAAUGGAAUAUACAGGUCCACAAAGAGCUUUUUAUUUAGAAUGGCUUGAGAGAUAAUAUUUCUGGCACUCUUAUAACCACAUAGCUUGAUGGAACUAAAUUGGACAGGUAUAUGGUGCCAAAUUAAGACAUCUUAUACAGAUAGUCUGUUCCUCCCCACUUUCGUACUUCUCCAUCCAUCCCCCACUGGGGAAUUACAGAAGCUAGUACAUUGGUUUUGCUACACUUCUGCUCUGUAAACCUUUGUUCUGCAAAUUUAAAGAUCGAAAGGUGCAUAUGCUCAUAUUUAUAAAAUAUAUGGCUGUGACUCUCUUAAAAAGCUCAAGAAUGGCAAUAACAGAAUACAGGCACUUCUAUGUGAGGGUUACUUUAGACCUUAGGAAACUCCACCCUUAGUAAGCAAUUCACAUGACACCUGGAUGAAUAAGUCAACGUAAUAGCUCCAUUUUUUUUAAUUGUUAUUAUUUUUAAAGUAUUACCCAUCAUUUUAAUCCUGACAAAGCAGAUUCACGCUUGUACACAGACCCCAUUUAUUUAACAAAGCAUCUCAGAACAGCAACCUGGCUGAACUACCACCUUGCUGUAGCUCUAAAAGACUUCCAGCUGCUUUGGACUAAGCCCCAGACUACCAGAUCUUAAGGAUGCACUGCACUACACCACAAGUCAGGCUGCGAAGCUGACAGUAUGAACUCAGCCCAUUUUGCUCUCACCUGAUGUAGGGCUCAGGGGACAGGAAAGCACUGCCCUAAGUGCACACAGUUCCAGUUGGGCUGGAAAGAAAACUGCAAUGAACCUACAUGUGUUUUGUAAAAAUAAGCUUGUGAGUGCAUUCUCAAAUCCUAAGCGCUGCAUUUCAGUACAACUCCUGCCUGUCACUAAUUUAAACACCAGUAAAACUUCAGCACCAAGCAGGAUUCACCAAAAGACUGUCUAAAGAAUUUCAUAAUGCUCUUUCUUUACAGUGCAGUUGAAACCAGACCCACUGCAUCCCAAUUUCAAUGGCUUUAAAUUAAAAAUCAAGUUUGGGUGAGGAAAUCUAUGGUUCAAGUGUUCUGCUCACAAGCAGCCGCACGGGAGAGAAGCACAGGCCAGCCAUGCAGUGUGACAGCUUGUCUCUUAUUGCUAACACUCAUGGAAGAGAUCAGCACUUAAAGAAGAAAAUAUGGGGAAAAAAAAAGGACUACACAACACUGUUCUAGCAUCAACUAAAAUCUAAUUGAUGGUUGUAGUUUCACCACACCGAUUUAUAAUUUAAUUAUUAAUACAAAUAAACUGCAUUCUACAGCUGUGUCUGAGCUCCCUGUCAAACUGCACAAUUUAACUCACAAUUUGUAAUGCAGCUGUGCCUCAGGUUUCCUGUCAAAGCUCUCCAUGCCAAGAUAACAGCUGUUCUGACAGAAACCGCUCCUACACAAGGCAACGUAGGUCAACGUUACUACAGAAAUCUGUCCGUAAGUGGGAAAAUUAGUGUAAUUUCCCCCAGAAAACUCAUCUAUUUAAUUAGAAGGCAAAUACAUGCAGAAAAAAAUUGAUAAGGUGAUACAGCCAGCCUCUGCUAUUUGAUGUGUUUUGUUAAAUAUUACAGUCUACACAAGUGUGAAGAGAUUUCAAAUGAAUUAAGUGUAUCUCACAAAUGCAAGCCUAAUGCUUUCAGGAAGUUUCCAGCUGUGUGGAUGGCUCACCACCAUAUCCAGCAGGAGACUAGCACUUGCUCAUAUCAUUCUGUCAUUGGCUUCACUCUCCAUCACAGGAAAAAGAAGAGACUGAUCACAUUUCCAUGAAAACUGAAUAACUUCUGAUAUUAGUAAUCUUAACUCAGUGACUUAAGGUCAAAGGAAAUGACCUUCCCUGAAGGUAGCAGUAAAAAGCCUAUGCAUUACUUAUGGCUUCACAAGAAAAGAGUAAUCAGUACUUCUAGCCACAGAGGAAAUGUAAAUCCAAGACGUGCUUUCUCCCCUCCCCCCCCUUUUUCUUAAUAAAUAAAUAAAAGAGUGAUUGAAAUAAAACAAGUGCCUUGAAUGCAAUGAAGCAUCAAUAAAAUACCAGCCCCCAGCUAGAUGUGAUCAAUACAGUUUCUAUAAUUAAAGUGAAGCUGUUUGAGUCCGCUCAGUUGUUUAUGUAUGCCUGUAAUAAAUGCUGCAUUUACAACUUUGUGCCAAUUAACUCAACCAAAAUCACCCACACAUAGCAUAACUAGAAGUUGUGUUUGUAAAGGUCACUACUGAAACCACCAUACCAAUUCACUGAAGGCUAAGGCUACUCCUCAUCCUGUUUUCACUGGGCAGGCUUGCGUUCUCAAACUUGUUUCAGAAUCCUCUUCCUCUGAAGGAACGCAUGAACUACCCAUUAACCUAUGACGUGUGGCCACAGAGCAGUCCCAGACUGAACUUCUUGAUGGAGUCAAUUUGCUGUGCGUGUGCAGGUCACCUGCAUGCAGUGUAGGCAGCAGUUUGUAUUUCCAUGUCACACCAAAUACACUGGGGGUUCACAACACAGUGCAUGUAUACACAGAUUUCUGCUUAGGAAAUUCUGGCAGCUUUACUCAAGUCUAAGAAAGAAAGACAAUGUUCACUUAUAGAAUCAAGGAUUCUUUCCAUGGCAAUUUCUGAAUUAAUAAAAUAAUAAGUAUGCAGAAGACAUGCAGGAAAAGAACAAGAUCAAUGAGAAAACAGUAUGAAAUAGCUAUCUGAGGUCCUUUUCCCCACAGAUACAAGGAACUAAGUGCUAACUUUCUAUAGGAGCAAUGCAGACUCCUUAUAUUAUGCAUAAUACAUAAUGGUUUAAGGAAGAAUUGCAUUUAAUGCAGUUUCACUUCCAAACAAGUAGGAACUGCUGCUGACUUUCGAAGACAAAUGUCAUAGCGGGUCUCAGCCACCAUACAGUUGUUGUUCAGAGCACGUAUUCGAAACAUUGUUCAUAGGGAAGCAUGGAAAGCACCACCUACAGAAGAUGCCAGGAGUGCAGCAAUCUAGCAGGAUGGAAAUGAGCUGUAGCAUUUCUAGAACAGUUAAAUGCAAAACACAGGAUACAUAUUCAAUUUGCAUAACAAAACUAAGAUGUGUUUGCCUUCCAUUCUUUCUUUGAUACCCUUAUGGGAAAGUCCUGUACAACUUAACAAGAGGGGGAAUAAAAGAUAUUAUGGGAACUUAACAGUACAGAAAUUACUCUUAAUGUAUAUUCCUAACAAAAGAAUGAUGGUGGGGGG